GUAAACACGUGGUUGAGUUGCAAGAAAAGAAAUGAAAAAUAUGUCUUACAAAAUAAGCAGAAAGUUUAUGGAUAUAGGCCAGAGGAGUUUUAGGAUGUGUACGACUCAAUUUCGCCAACGAAAGAUAAAGGAAAGUCAUAAUGCUUUGGAACGACAUUAGGGAUGGAGGGCUCAAGUUUGUUUCACCUUAACCCGACUCACCUGGUGAAGCGGACCUCACAGAUGGUGCACAUGUAGGGCUUCUCUCCGGUGUGUGUUCGCAUGUGCCGUGGCAGCUUUCCC
This is a long non-coding RNA of Carassius auratus (goldfish), 282 nucleotides long. RefSeq lists it as uncharacterized. The record is from RefSeq and is a predicted model, not a curated record. The transcript is spliced from 3 exons. Lineage: Eukaryota; Metazoa; Chordata; Actinopteri; Cypriniformes; Cyprinidae.